This 467-nucleotide ribosomal RNA is filed under the name uncultured bacterium. RNAcentral describes it as "partial 16S ribosomal RNA". It matches the Rfam family "Bacterial small subunit ribosomal RNA", at positions 29 to 507 of the family's 1533-position model. The record is from RNAcentral.
AUGAACGCUGGCGGCGUGCUUAACACAUGCAAGUCGAACGGUGAAGGCGGAGCUUGCCCUGCUGGAUCAGUGGCGAACGGGUGAGUAACACGUGAGCAAUCUGCCCCUGACUCUGGGAUAAGCGCUGGAAACGGCGUCUAAUACUGGAUACGAGCUGCGAAGGCAUCUUCAGCAGCUGGAAAGAACUUCGGUCAGGGAUGAGCUCGCGGCCUAUCAGCUUGUUGGUGAGGUAACGGCUCACCAAGGCGUCGACGGGUAGCCGGCCUGAGAGGGUGACCGGCCACACUGGGACUGAGACACGGCCCAGACUCCUACGGGAGGCAGCAGUGGGGAAUAUUGCACAAUGGGCGAAAGCCUGAUGCAGCAACGCCGCGUGAGGGACGACGGCCUUCGGGUUGUAAACCUCUUUUAGCAGGGAAGAAGCGAAAGUGACGGUACCUGCAGAAAAAGCGCCGGCUAACUACGUG